RNAcentral lists this ribosomal RNA (253 nucleotides) under uncultured bacterium. Its description in RNAcentral is "partial 16S ribosomal RNA". It matches the Rfam family "Bacterial small subunit ribosomal RNA", at positions 524 to 776 of the family's 1533-position model. The record is from RNAcentral.
UACGAGGGGGGCGAGCGUUGUUCGGAAUUAUUGGGCGUAAAGGGCGCGUAGGCGGUGCGGUAAGUCACCUGUGAAACCUCUGGGCUCAACUCAGAGCCUGCAGGCGAAACUGCCGUGCUGGAGUGUGGGAGAGGUGCGUGGAAUUCCCGGUGUAGCGGUGAAAUGCGUAGAUAUCUGGAGGAACACCGGUGGCGAAGGCGGCAUCCUGGACCGGCAUUGACGCUGAGGCGCGAAAGCCAGGGGAGCAAACGGG